GAUGAACGCUGGCGGCGUGCCUAAUACAUGCAAGUCGAGCGAACAGAUGAGGAGCUUGCUCCUCUGACGUUAGCGGCGGACGGGUGAGUAACACGUGGAUAACCUACCUAUAAGGCUGGGAUAACUUCGGGAAACCGGAGCUAAUACCGGAUAAUAUAUUGAACCGCAUGGUUCAAUAGUGAAAGACGGUUUUGCUGUCACUUAUAGAUGGAUCCGCGCCGCAUUAGCUAGUUGGUAAGGUAACGGCUUACCAAGGCAACGAUGCGUAGCCGACCUGAGAGGGUGAUCGGCCACACUGGAACUGAGACACGGUCCAGACUCCUACGGGAGGCAGCAGUAGGGAAUCUUCCGCAAUGGGCGAAAGCCUGACGGAGCAACGCCGAGUGAGUGAUGAAGGUCUUCGGAUCGUAAAACUCUGUUAUUAGGGAAGAACAAAUGUGUAAGUAACUAUGCACGUCUUGACGGUACCUAAUCAGAAAGCCACGGCUAACUACGUG
Molecule: ribosomal RNA, 497 nt
Filed under: uncultured bacterium
Lineage: Bacteria
Description: partial 16S ribosomal RNA
Rfam family: Bacterial small subunit ribosomal RNA
Source: RNAcentral